Non-coding RNA from Haloferax mediterranei ATCC 33500, 66 nucleotides. The record is from Rfam. Lineage: Archaea; Methanobacteriati; Methanobacteriota; Halobacteria; Halobacteriales; Haloferacaceae.
AUGGGAAUCUAGCACGGCCGCAAAUCUGACGUGCCCGCGUUUGCGGGCUUGGGAUUGCGGUAGUGC